ACCCGGCUGACUCAGUCAGUGGAGUAUAUGACUCCCAAUCUUGAGGUUGUGGGUUUGAGGCCCACAUUGGGUG
This 73-nucleotide transfer RNA is filed under the name Canis lupus familiaris (dog). It matches the Rfam family "tRNA". Rfam says of the family: Transfer RNA (tRNA) molecules are approximately 80 nucleotides in length. Their secondary structure includes four short double-helical elements and three loops (D, anti-codon, and T loops). RNAcentral also lists the same sequence under 1 other name. Lineage: Eukaryota; Metazoa; Chordata; Mammalia; Carnivora; Canidae. The record is from Rfam by way of RNAcentral.